Nicotiana tabacum (common tobacco) is the source of this 371-nucleotide non-coding RNA. The record is from RefSeq and is a predicted model, not a curated record. NCBI's taxonomy places the organism in Eukaryota, Viridiplantae, Streptophyta, Magnoliopsida, Solanales, Solanaceae.
UCUCAGACAGCGAUUCCCCCAAAAUCUCGAACAUCCCUCUCCCUGUUCAUCAACGUAGAACACACCGACAAACUCUGGCGACCAACUCCGGUGAAGGACAAUAAUUUCCGGUGAAGGGCGACCAUUAUCGGCUAACAUAUCACAAUCUCCGAGGUAGUUAUCCCAUUGCACCAGCUUAAGGCAAUUAAUCCUUCAUCAAGCAGGACCAAUCCGUCCGAAAGAUAUGUCCAGACUAUAUCUGUCGAUAACCUGAAUUACUGGUGUAUACGGUCAAAAUCAUAUGCCUCCAAUUUUGUAGGCUCGAGAAGUUGCAUCGAGGACAAAAGUUCGAUAUAGACCAAGCUCGAGCUCGAAGGUAGAAUAAGAGGCUC